UACGUAGGGUGCAGGCGUUAAUCGGAAUUACUGGGCGUAAAGCGUGCGCAGGCGGUUUCUUAAGUCAGAUGUGAAAGCCCCGGGCUUAACCUGGGAACUGCGUUUGAAACUGGGAGACUUGAGUGUGGCAGAGGGGGGUGGAAUUCCACGUGUAGCAGUGAAAUGCGUAGAUAUCGUAAGGAGGGCCAGUGGCGAAGGCGAGUUCCUGGACAGUUACUGACGCUGAGGCACGAAGGCCAGGGGAGCAAACGGG
Molecule: ribosomal RNA, 253 nt
Filed under: uncultured bacterium
Lineage: Bacteria
Description: partial 16S ribosomal RNA
Rfam family: Bacterial small subunit ribosomal RNA
Source: RNAcentral